This 400-nucleotide ribosomal RNA is filed under the name uncultured bacterium. RNAcentral describes it as "bacterial SSU rRNA". It matches the Rfam family "Bacterial small subunit ribosomal RNA", at positions 355 to 752 of the family's 1533-position model. The record is from RNAcentral.
UGAGGAAUAUUGGGCAAUGCCCGCAAGGGUGACCCAGCAACGCCGCGUGGAGGAUGAAAGCCGUAAGGUUGUAAACUCCUUUUGAAGAGGAAGAAAAUUUUCGAUCGAAUCGAAACCUGACUGUACUCUUAGAAGAAGCCCCGGCUAACUACGUGCCAGCAGCCGCGGUAAUACGUAGGGGGCAAGCGUUGUCCGGAUUCACUGGGUGUAAAGGGCGCGUAGGCUGGUUUGUAAGUUAGAGGUGAAAUCCUGCAGCUUAACUGUAGAACUGCCUCUGAUACUGCAAAUCUUGAGUUCAGAAGAGAGUAGCGGAAUUCCAGGUGUAGUGGUGAAAUACGUAGAUAUCUGGAAGAACACCAGUGGCGAAGGCGGCUACUUGGUCUGCAACUGACGCUGAGGC